GAUGAACGCUGGCGGCGUGCUUAACACAUGCAAGUCGAACGGGAUCCCAGGAGCUUGCUCCUGGGUGAGAGUGGCGAACGGGUGAGUAAUGCGUGACCGACCUGCCCCAUACACCGGAAUAGCUCCUGGAAACGGGUGGUAAUGCCGGAUGCUCCAGUUGGAUGCAUGUCCUUCUGGGAAAGAUUCAUCGGUAUGGGAUGGGGUCGCGUCCUAUCAGCUUGAUGGCGGGGUAACGGCCCACCAUGGCUUCGACGGGUAGCCGGCCUGAGAGGGCGACCGGCCACAUUGGGACUGAGAUACGGCCCAGACUCCUACGGGAGGCAGCAGUGGGGAAUAUUGCACAAUGGGCGCAAGCCUGAUGCAGCGACGCCGCGUGCGGGAUGACGGCCUUCGGGUUGUAAACCGCUUUUGACUGGGAGCAAGCCCUUCGGGGUGAGUGUAC
This 442-nucleotide ribosomal RNA is filed under the name uncultured bacterium. RNAcentral describes it as "bacterial SSU rRNA". It matches the Rfam family "Bacterial small subunit ribosomal RNA", at positions 28 to 478 of the family's 1533-position model. The record is from RNAcentral.